GGGGACGUUACGGAUUCGACAGGGAUAGUUCGAGCUUGAGUUGCGAGCCGAGGGGAUCGUCCUCGUCAAAACGUCAACGCCAAUAAUAACUGGCAAAUCAGAAAAUAACUUCGCUUUAGCUGCUUAAUAACAGCUUAGCGGUUCCUCCCUCCAUCGCCCAUGUGGUAGGGUAAGGGACUCACUCUUAGUGGGCUACGCCUGAUUCCACCGUCUGAGGAUGAAGGAAGAGAUGAAUCAGACUAGCCACUCGGACGCCCGUUGGCAGGCAGAAGAACUGGUGAAUUUGCGAAUAUGUCAACUACGCUCGUAGACGCUUGAGUGACGAUAUGUCUGGACGUGGGUUCGACUCCCACCGUCUCCACCA
RNAcentral lists this transfer-messenger RNA (364 nucleotides) under Caryophanales. RNAcentral describes it as "JAIVKR01 sp020524035 Standard tmRNA". It matches the Rfam family "transfer-messenger RNA". Rfam says of the family: Bacterial tmRNA, also known as 10Sa RNA or SsrA, is named for its dual tRNA and mRNA-like properties. Its role is to liberate the mRNA from a stalled ribosome. To accomplish this part of the tmRNA is used as a reading frame that ends in a translation stop signal. The record is from RNAcentral. RNAcentral also lists the same sequence under 1 other name. Lineage: Bacteria; Bacillati; Bacillota; Bacilli.